Molecule: long non-coding RNA, 937 nt
Organism: Manihot esculenta (cassava)
Lineage: Eukaryota; Viridiplantae; Streptophyta; Magnoliopsida; Malpighiales; Euphorbiaceae
Exons: 3
Source: RefSeq, a predicted model, not a curated record
AUGAAAGACAAAAAAUGAACUAUAAAGGCAAUAAUGACUAUAUGGUUUCCAGUAAAUAAUAACAUAUUUCUACUCUCUAUUAUAAAAUAUCCUCAGAGUGUUACUUUUAAAUGGAAUAUUGAAAGCUUCUCGACAUUACAACAAUCUGAAGAAUAUUCAGAUUCAUUCUGUGUCGGGAAGGAGGUUGUGUUAUAUCCUAAAGGAGAUUCAAGUGGCAAUAAUCUGUCACUCUUUGUAGGCUGACUUUCCAGUGGUGAACUUCAAGAAAGAGUGUUUGCAGAAUAUAAGCUGAUAGUGAAAGAUCAGGUCCACAGGAACCAUCAUGAGCGUACAGGAAGAGGUUGAAGUUCUGGAAUAAAAGCUUCAAUGAUUUAAACAUGGCUACUAAUGGAUUGCUGUAUGCAUGGAGAGUGGUGCUCUCUUUUUAUUAUUUUGUUACGGUUCACUUAUUUCAUUUAUCCUAACUAGAUUUUGAAGGACAUCCAAUGCUUUAAAUAUGACUAGUAAUGGAGUUCUGUAUGCAUGGAGGCUGGUGCUCUCUUUCAGCUAUAACCCAUUUGAAGCUAGCUAGUACCGGAACUUAUCGCUUUCCCGGUGUUGAUUUGAUCACUUUGAAGUCGCCAACCGACCAGCCGAGUCAACUGCUGUGCGAAUGGCAGAAUCGACUUCGGCAACAAAUAUUUGAUGCCGGUGUAAAGAUACCAUCAAAAGCUAUGAAAGUUGUUGUAGUGGGUAUGCAACAAAGGGCUGCAAAUGGAGGAUUAAAGGGUGGAUUUGUUGGUUUCAAUUGCAGAGUUUAUGGUGGUUAUUUGAGGAAGGUUAGACAGCAAAAAGGUGGUCUUCUUUAGAUAGUUUUAGAGAGGUGACGCAAAAUUUCUUUAUUAUAAUUAUUUUGAUAAAUUUUUAUUAUUUUCAUCAUCCCAAAUACAAAUGGAAA